CAUUGUGGAAAUUAAUUGCAACCUUUCAUGAUUGUCCGAUCCCAUCUAUGGGUUUCAAGGAAGAUUAUGAAGUCCUUAGAACCACAAUGUGUCUAAUUUUUAUUCUGUAUUUUAUUUAUUUUUAAAUGUCUGAGAUGCUGAGAACCUGAGAUAUCACUCAUCUCAUCUUCCUGAAUUUUAUGAACUAAGAAGCGAAAGCUCACCCAAAGCCAUUUAUAGAGUCUAUGGAAAAAGAAGGACUAGACCCUGGAUUCCGUGAUUUACAGGGAUAUAAAGGGUGGCUGGUGCCAUUCUUCCAAAAGGAAAGCUGUCAUC
Molecule: long non-coding RNA, 315 nt
Filed under: Homo sapiens (human)
Lineage: Eukaryota; Metazoa; Chordata; Mammalia; Primates; Hominidae
Description: HSALNT0227365
Source: RNAcentral